GACGAACGCUGGCGGCGUGCUUAACACAUGCAAGUCGAACGGAAAGGCCCUGCUUUUGUGGGGUGCUCGAGUGGCGAACGGGUGAGUAACACGUGAGUAACCUGCCCUUGACUUUGGGAUAACUUCAGGAAACUGGGGCUAAUACCGGAUAGGAGCUCCUGCUGCAUGGUGGGGGUUGGAAAGUUUCGGCGGUUGGGGAUGGACUCGCGGCUUAUCAGCUUGUUGGUGGGGUAGUGGCUUACCAAGGCUUUGACGGGUAGUCGGCCUGAGAGGGUGACCGGCCACAUUGGGACUGAGAUACGGCCCAGACUCCUACGGGAGGCAGCAGUGGGGAAUAUUGCACAAUGGGCGGAAGCCUGAUGCAGCGACGCCGCGUGCGGGAUGACGGCCUUCGGGUUGUAAACCGCUUUCGCCUGUGACGAAGCGUGAGUGACGGUAAUGGGUAAAGAAGCACCGGCUAACUACGUG
This 468-nucleotide ribosomal RNA is filed under the name uncultured bacterium. Its description in RNAcentral is "partial 16S ribosomal RNA". It matches the Rfam family "Bacterial small subunit ribosomal RNA", at positions 28 to 507 of the family's 1533-position model. The record is from RNAcentral.